This 76-nucleotide transfer RNA is filed under the name Bacillus subtilis subsp. subtilis str. BSP1. RNAcentral's name for it is "tRNA-His". The record is from RNAcentral. Lineage: Bacteria; Bacillati; Bacillota; Bacilli; Caryophanales; Bacillaceae.
UGUGCGUAUGUCACAAGACUGCCGGUUGAGCAAUACGGAGUCGAUGCUGCAAUCCUUUAUAAAGAUAUCAUGACGC